GCGCCGCUCUUCCCUUGGAACGCAAUGAAUGGGUCGCGGAAGCGGCGGCACGUUCUCCCCGCGUCCCACGACUGCCGCAGUUGCCAAGGAAGGAGGUUAAUGGGCAUGCUGCCAUUCUGACUAGGAACCUUAGCGACCUCCUGAGGCAAUCCUGCCAGUCAGCAAGCGUUUACUGAUGAUGCAAGAAAAAAAAAAAAAAAGGCAAAAAAAAAAAAAAAAAAAAAAAAACUACCGUCCAGGUCUCCAAGAAGUAAUACUCUAAUGGAGAUGUGUACGUACAAGAUGGAGAACAAAGGGAAUGUAGUCUCAGAGAGAAGGGCGCUGGGGAUUGGGGGGAGGGGCGAGAGGGGACCGUGGGAAGGAGGCAUCUUGUAUUGAGAUUUGAGCAAAGAGGAAGAUGUCUGCCCGGCUGAUCCGAGAAUCCCCCUCCGCAGUCUUCCAGGCAGAUGGGCCCACUUACGGAUCUCUCCGAUUUUGGAACAAUGCUAGCGUGUCAUAACAGAUUUACAAAGGAUGUAUGACCACUGACUUGCCACUGUCACGGGACAGAGCUGGGUAAAGUUACUGGGUGCCCCAGGAAGGGAGCAGUUUUAAGGACCCAAAGUGAGGGAGGAAGAGCCUAAAUUCAGGCACAAGGCUUCAUUUUCCAUUCCUCUUGCUCUUGCUUUCAUUUUGGGGAUCUACAUCCACAAAAACUUGCCCCUUCUGCCUAGGGGCAGGGUGAAAUCCAAAUGCUUUCUUGGGAUGAAGGAUAUCUCAUACCUUUAUCUCUUGUUGGAAUAUUACAUAAAUAUAAACUGUAGCGUGAAAUAAUAGAGGGGAAAAACAAAGGAUUUAGAGUGGGAGAUUAGGGUACAAAUUCCAGGUUUGCCCCUUAUUUAAAGUUGUGCUGCUUUCAAAAACUAGUUUUCCCUUUCUGGGAAUUAGAACAUGUAAGACAAUGUGGAAAGUAAGGGAAUUGGUUUGUCCUAAACUUAAAUAUUUCAAAUUUCAAAAGAUGCUUUAUCCCAAGUUUAAUAAGUAAAUGAAGUAUUAUGAGGGAGAUUCUUCCAAAAAAAAGAAUUCUUAUAAGUUUUCAUAAUUUAUUUUAUUGACAUUCGCAUGUUUCAUUUUACAAUUGAAUGGAACAAUAGGAAACUAAAGUGUGGGAGAAGGAAAAUAGAAAAAGAUAGGGGACAUUCACAUAAGAAUACCACUUGGAAUAAAGAAAGUAAAACAGGUCUCUUCAAGAAAUUGUGAGAAACAGAAAAUGGAGAAGUAACAGGAAGAAAAAAUGGAGAAGUAACAGGAAUGAUGUAAAGAUUAUAAAAAGGAAAGAGCAGAAGAAAAAGAAACUCUUAAGAGUCAUAAGAUUAAUAAAAUUUUGGAGGUCAGCUAGUUUCAUCACUGGUCAAAGGAACACCAUGCAGGGAAAUCCAUGCACUUUGAAGGAUGGUCCUUUAAAUCAGAAGGCUACUAGGAUUACUUAAUUGAUAUCAACUGGGGAGAGAUUUUGAUCUACCUGGGAGAAAUCUUGAUAAUGAUGUGUAGCCUUUAAUACUUUAAGGUUUGCAAAA
Long non-coding RNA from Sarcophilus harrisii (Tasmanian devil), 1556 nucleotides. RefSeq lists it as uncharacterized. Lineage: Eukaryota; Metazoa; Chordata; Mammalia; Dasyuromorphia; Dasyuridae. The record is from RefSeq and is a predicted model, not a curated record. The transcript has 2 exons.